GCCACCGAUAAAGAAACACCCACAUGCAGUGUGAGACUCAGCCCAUGUCACGUUUGGGCUAUCGCCGUGUUUGGGUCUGAUAAGAGUUGUACGAAGAGGUCACGAUAAAGCAUCCACUCUUUUGCUCUUGGGCGAUAACGGAGAGUCGACCCACCCUUUGUGAAUAAGAAGAGGCUAUGAGGCAGGAAAGCAGGUCACAGAGCGGAAUCAAAGAGUGCGACCAGGUUCAAAUGUGGGCGCAAAUACUCCUUUUGCAGUUUGCUCAUCCUGUAUUUCGAAGCGUACGCGCGUCUGUCACAUUUGCUUGACGUCGUACUGCGGUCACUUAGUUGCCACGACGUGCCAAAGGUGGAGCGGCUGAGGUCGGUGAUCCAAACGACCUUUCGACUCGGCGUCAUUGUCAACUUGCUUCAAGUGAAAAGACGGUCGGCCCGGAGGUGGGGAUUUCCUUCCAUGUGACUCGAAGCCUACAUUUUGCUGCCACGCAAGUUCACUGUAGCUUCCGAUGUCACCGCGACGUCCUCAGUCAAUGGCGACCCCGUCGCUGGAUGUUUCUCCAACGUUCCGAAAAACAUGCACGCUCGCUUCACGGAACGCUCAAAAUUAUCCCCGGGUGUGACUGUGAAUAUAAAAUCCGAUAUGGUUGAAUGCAUUUUUCGUUAUUAUCACAAGGGAAGUCAAACAAAUUGGAGAGGUGUACUUUACAUAUGAAACCACAAUUUGUAAAACAUUUAAUAAGGGGGAAAAAAUGCUGAUUUAAUGAAGGCAAAAAAGAGGUGAUCAUUUUGUCCCCGAAUCGAUCAAUUUCACAUUGCUUGGUUCAUAAAUUAGUCUUUGACCAAGUGAAAACUCAACCGCUUCCUUCCAAAAAAAAAAAAAAAAAAAAAAAAGAAAUUCAAAAUAGGCCCAAGCAGUCGUGGGCGAAUGAAAGAGAAAUUCAUCCCACAAAGCUAAUCGAAGCCAUUCAGGUAAAGAACAAAGAAAAUGGAUCAAGUGACGGAAAUCAAAGUUUCCCAUUUUUUAUUGAGCCAAGGCACAUAUUUGACAUUUGGAAAAAAAAA
Molecule: long non-coding RNA, 1061 nt
Organism: Hippocampus comes (tiger tail seahorse)
Lineage: Eukaryota; Metazoa; Chordata; Actinopteri; Syngnathiformes; Syngnathidae
Exons: 2
Source: RefSeq, a predicted model, not a curated record